This 220-nucleotide ribosomal RNA is filed under the name uncultured fungus. Its description in RNAcentral is "partial small subunit ribosomal RNA". The stretch from base 96 to 220 matches the Rfam family "Eukaryotic small subunit ribosomal RNA", at positions 738 to 864 of the family's 1831-position model. The record is from RNAcentral. Lineage: Eukaryota; Fungi.
GGCCUGGCCGGGCGGUCCGCCUAACGGUGUGUUACUGUUCGGCUGGGUCUUACCUCUUGGUGAGCCGGUUCGUAUCCUUCAUUGGGUGCGGGUCGGGGAACCAGGACUUUUACCUUGAGAAAAUUAGAGUGUUCAAAGCAGGCCUAUGCCCGAAUACAUUAGCAUGGAAUAAUAGAAUAGGACGUGCGGUUCUAUUUUGUUGGUUUCUAGAGUCGCCGUA